GAUUUUUUAACUUAACGGACAAAGUACAAACUUGAUAAGUUUGAAAUAAUGGUUCAAUUCCAUUAAAAAUCA
This 72-nucleotide transfer RNA is filed under the name Pneumocystis canis. Its description in RNAcentral is "tRNA-Ile". It matches the Rfam family "tRNA". From Rfam's summary of the family: Transfer RNA (tRNA) molecules are approximately 80 nucleotides in length. Their secondary structure includes four short double-helical elements and three loops (D, anti-codon, and T loops). Further hydrogen bonds mediate the characteristic L-shaped molecular structure. tRNAs have two regions of fundamental functional importance: the anti-codon, which is responsible for specific mRNA codon recognition, and the 3' end, to which the tRNAs corresponding amino acid is attached (by aminoacyl-tRNA synthetases). tRNAs cope with the degeneracy of the genetic code in two manners: having more than one tRNA (with a specific anti-codon) for a particular amino acid; and 'wobble' base-pairing, i.e. permitting non-standard base-pairing at the 3rd anti-codon position. Lineage: Eukaryota; Fungi; Ascomycota; Pneumocystomycetes; Pneumocystales; Pneumocystaceae. The record is from RNAcentral.